UACAGAGGGUGCGAGCGUUAAUCGGAAUUACUGGGCGUAAAGCGUGCGUAGACGGUAGCGUAAGUCAGAUGUGAAAGCCCCGGGCUCAACCUGGGAACUGCAUUUGAGACUGCUCUGCUCGGGUGCGGAAGAGGGAAGCGGAAUUUCCGGUGUAGCGGUGAAAUGCGUAGAGAUCGGGAGGAAGGCCGGUGGCGAAGGCGGCGCUCUGGAACGUUUCUGACACUGAGGCUCGAAAGCGUGGGGAGCAAACAGG
This 253-nucleotide ribosomal RNA is filed under the name uncultured bacterium. RNAcentral's name for it is "partial 16S ribosomal RNA". It matches the Rfam family "Bacterial small subunit ribosomal RNA", at positions 524 to 776 of the family's 1533-position model. The record is from RNAcentral.